CAGUAGCCGCGGUAAUACGUAGGGCGCAAGCGUUGUCCGGAAUUAUUGGGCGUAAAGAGCUCGUAGGCGGUCUGUCGCGUCUGGUGUGAAAUCCCGAGGCUCAACCUCGGGCUUGCAUCGGGUACGGGCAGACUAGAGUGCGGUAGGGGAGACUGGAAUUCCUGGUGUAGCGGUGGAAUGCGCAGAUAUCAGGAGGAACACCGAUGGCGAAGGCAGGUCUCUGGGCCGCAACUGACGCUGAGGAGCGAAAGCAUGGGGAGCGAACAGGAUUAGAUACCCGUGUAGUCCCUGUCUCUUAUAC
Molecule: ribosomal RNA, 301 nt
Filed under: uncultured bacterium
Lineage: Bacteria
Description: partial 16S ribosomal RNA
Rfam family: Bacterial small subunit ribosomal RNA
Source: RNAcentral